CUACGGGUGGCUGCAGCAGGGAAUAUUGCACAAUGGACGGAAGUCUGAUGCAGCGACGCCGCGUGGAUGAUGAAGGCCCUCGGGUUGUAAAAUCCUUUUCAGGGGGACGAGGCAGGACGGUACCCUUGGAAUAAGCGUCGGCUAACUACGUGCCAGCAGCCGCGGUAAGACGUAGGACGCAAGCGUUAUCCGGAUUUACUGGGCGUAAAGCGUCUGUAGGCGGAAUGGUAAGUUGGGCGUGAAAGCUCCGGGCUUAACUCGGAGAGGACGUUCAAUACUGCCAAACUAGAGGGCAUCAGAGGAGCGUGGAAUUUCCGGUGUAGCGGUAAAAUGCGCAGAUAUCGGAAGGAACACCAAUGGCGAAGGCAGCGCUCUGGGAUGAACCUGACGCUAAGAGACGAAAGCUAGGGGAGCGAACAGGAUUAGAUACCCCCGUAGUC
RNAcentral lists this ribosomal RNA (440 nucleotides) under uncultured bacterium. Its description in RNAcentral is "partial 16S ribosomal RNA". It matches the Rfam family "Bacterial small subunit ribosomal RNA", at positions 339 to 795 of the family's 1533-position model. The record is from RNAcentral.